This is an RNA transcript of Uranotaenia lowii, 1974 nucleotides long. RefSeq lists it as uncharacterized. The record is from RefSeq and is a predicted model, not a curated record. NCBI's taxonomy places the organism in Eukaryota, Metazoa, Arthropoda, Insecta, Diptera, Culicidae. The transcript has 5 exons.
UGGCGCUAACAAGAAGGCAGUUCCGGGAAAAAAUCAGGCAAGGUGGUUGGAAAAGUGCAACCGGUGGUGAAGUUGCUGAAAAACGGUAACAUAUUGCCGCAUCAUUAUCGGUUUGCCACAGUUUUCUCCACCACAGGACCCGAAAAUAUUCUGUUCCGCCAACAAGAGCCAGCAACUUUGUCGCCAGCACGCGAAGCGUGAAUUUCGUCCGGUCAUAUCACUCUCGGAACCACAGAUUUCGCUUGGCGGCAGAGGCAAAAAGAAAAUCCGCCACCACCAAAAGCGGACACGAGGUGAUCGCUGGGGAAAAUUUAAACCAGCUAAAGAAAAGGGCCGUAAGAGUGAAUAGACCAUCAUUUUUUUAAACUAUUCCCGUUGCUGAUCGGAACUCUUCAUCCGACAGGGCCUUUUUUUUAUAUGCGGCUUUUGCAAACCGUUGCGAACCGAUCGUCAGACGACUGGCUCGUGUAUCGGCACCAUUGCCGUACACUUCGCUUUCCCUCUCGGGAACAGUGGUUUAUAGCAGAGCGUGGAGACGAAUCCCGGGAACCACUUGCCUCGGAACUGAGUUGCCUGCUUGGCAUAUCGUUUGGGUUGGAAAGACCACCAAUUUCUCCCCUUUUGAGCACCGAGCGGCCAGAUAGCAGCUGUAGAAAGAGGAGCAUCGCAUAGCCAAUCCUUUUUUGGGAUCUGAAGCAGAACAUUACCGAUCUUGGGACAGCUGAUGACAGAGCGGUUCGACCCUUCAUCGAGAAAACACUGGGUCCACGGAACCGCUGCGAACGCGUACAGCUUGCAUGUGCCUUCGAACACAGUCGAGGGUGAAGGAGUUUUUGCCAGGAACGGACGACAUCUUCGGGCACCGGAUCCCGAAACGAACUCGUGCGCUUGGAGGAAGCGUGAGUUUUCUUCAGCCUCAGAUCGAAGCCAAGCAUCAUCAUACAUAAAUCAAGUUCCCGCAAAUCGGACCGGGUAAUCAGACGUGACACGGAGGAGGGUCGCGUAAAGAAGAGGAAGUGGGGUGAGCUUACGGUGCGGUGCAGCUUUCUUCGAGUGACUUCGUGGUGAGGAGCCACAAAUCAUACGGUGCGGCACGGGUGAGGUCAACCGAAGCGUGUCGCACAAGCAGCGAAGGUCGACGAAUUUGUUUUGUGCAAGGAACAACGGUGAAUUGGAUUAGCAAGCACACCGAGCGCGGUGUACAGUAUACGACACGGGUGAGGUCAACCAAAGCGCGUCGUAUCUCGCCGGAGCCAAUGGCACUGGGACAGUGGGAAGCCCGCAUUUCGUCGUGCAAAAUCAUCGAGCCUGAAGUAGCUCCGAAGAGGGCAGUGACGUCGUCAAAGAUGGUGCAGAAUAAACACACACAGACUAAGAAUGAUGGGACGAAAACUGCAGUACUUUGUGUCCAGCACCAGGGCAAUAGGAAAGCUACUGGUCAUGGAAAACGAGCUUAUCGUCGGAGAUAGCAGUGAAAAACGAGGCGCAGAAAAUGGGCUUCUGCGUUGUACGUCGAAAUCGGUCAAGGGAGCUGACAUGAAAAGCAGUUCCGUGGCUCCUCUAGCUAAAGGUGAGAGCAAAGGUGUUGCGUUUAAUAGAAGGUCCAGAGAAAGGCCGCCGUGAAAACGAACAAAUUGACGGGAUGGAGUGGAAAACGAAGCAUUUUACGUUGAGGACGAUCACUGGGAGAUGUUCCGACUUGGGUAGUUAACCAUGCAAAGAAUACCAGAAACCGGUAACGUGCGGUCAACUUUAUUUGUGAUUGUGUCAAAGAAUUGCGGAAUAAUAAUAACGAAGAGAUUGUGUUGCUACUGGAAUCCUAACAAGUUUUAUAAAAAUACCAAUGAAAGAUUUAAUUAUAUGUACGUAAGAAAAUUCUGUCUCAAUUUGGGAUCUUAUAUUAUAACUGUUUUCUGCGUUUUUUGAAUGAAUUUAGUAUUUUAAAAUGGAUUUAAAUUAAAGAAAACCAUAAAA